Molecule: ribosomal RNA, 997 nt
Filed under: Aliculastrum cylindricum
Lineage: Eukaryota; Metazoa; Mollusca; Gastropoda; Cephalaspidea; Haminoeidae
Description: SSU rRNA
Rfam family: Eukaryotic small subunit ribosomal RNA
Source: RNAcentral
CAUAUGCUUGUCUCAAAGAUUAAGCCAUGCAUGUCUAAGUUCACACUGUCUCACGGUGAAACCGCGAAUGGCUCAUUAAAUCAGUCGAGGUUCCUUAGAUGACACGAUCCUACUUGGAUAACUGUGGCAAUUCUAGAGCUAAUACAUGCCUAUGAAGCUCCGACCCUCGUGGAAAGAGCGCUUUUAUUAGUUCAAAACCAAUCGCCGGUCGUCUUCGGGCGGCCGGUGUCCCCAUUGGUGACUCUGGAUAACUUUGUGCUGAUCGCAUGGCCUUCGUGCCGGCGACGCAUCUUUCAAAUGUCUGCCCUAUCAAAUGUCGAUGGUACGUGAUAUGCCUACCAUGUUUGUAACGGGUAACGGGGAAUCAGGGUUCGAUUCCGGAGAGGGAGCAUGAGAAACGGCUACCACAUCCAAGGAAGGCAGCAGGCGCGCAACUUACCCACUCCCGGCACGGGGAGGUAGUGACGAAAAAUAACAAUACGGGACUCUCUACGAGGCUCCGUAAUUGGAAUGAGUACACUUUAAACCCUUUAACGAGGAUCUAUUGGAGGGCAAGUCUGGUGCCAGCAGCCGCGGUAAUUCCAGCUCCAAUAGCGUAUAUUAAAGUUGUUGCAGUUAAAAAGCUCGUAGUUGGAUCUCAGGUGCAGGCGGACGGUCCGGCUCGCGCCGGUUCACUGUCCGUAUUUCCUGCCCUACUGGUCUGCCGGCUCUCUCCCGUGGGUGCUCUUCGCUGAGCGUCCCGGGUGGCCGGCGCGUUUACUUUGAAAAAAUUAGAGUGUUCAAAGCAGGCCUCGGCUGCCUGAAUAAUGGUGCAUGGAAUAAUGGAAUAGGACCUCGGUUCUAUUUUGUUGGUUUUCGGAACUGGAGGUAAUGAUUAAAAGGGACAAACGGGGGCAUUCGUAUUGCGGCGUUAGAGGUGAAAUUCUUGGAUCGCCGCAAGACGAGCUACUGCGAAAGCAUUUGUCAAGAAUGUUUUCAUUAAUCAAGAACGAAAGUC